Molecule: long non-coding RNA, 722 nt
Filed under: Lactuca sativa (garden lettuce)
Lineage: Eukaryota; Viridiplantae; Streptophyta; Magnoliopsida; Asterales; Asteraceae
Description: long non-coding RNA (LSAT_LNC002317)
Source: RNAcentral
UCUUUCAUGGCAUCAUUUUUUCUAACGAAUAAAACAAAACGUUUGUGUACAAACAUAUUAACAAAAUCGGAUGUGUCAGAACCUUAGACAUAGAUCUACAUCCACUAACAUAAAAUUAAUAAAUAUGGUGAAUUAGAAAGAGGCAGUGAUGUAGAAAAAGAAUAAAGGCGGUUUUAGAUCACGAUCCAUAUCUAUAACCUUAAAAAGAAAAAUCAAUGACGGUUAAUCCACAUAAACCUUCACAUCAUCGAACCUUCAUCUUGUACAAAGAGCAUAAAACAAUCAUUAAAAUAAAAAACAAAAUCGAACAGAAAGUAAGUAAGAAUCGCUUAUCAACUACAAAACGCAGACUAAAAAAUCAAACAUAAGCUCAUAUAUUGGGAUUUUAGACGGAACAUGCCUACGUUUUGUAAACAUAUCUCAGAGAGAAAGAAUAUCGCCUGCUCCUGGAAGUCGGUUGUUGUGGUUGUGUUUUUGGUAGAGAAGUCGGUGUGAGAUGGUUUAGAGCUAGGAGAGACCACAUAAAAAUAGAAGGGAAUGUUGGAGGUGACGGUAGAAGGUGAGUAUGUGCGAUGGGAGAUUUUAGGGUUUUUUGUGGAAUUUAUUCUUAAACUCUAACGAAUGAGGGGAGUGUGUGCGAUGGGAGUAUCUGAGUGGAGAGAAUAGGCAAUCCGUUGAUAUAUUUUAUUGAUUUUCAUCCGUUGGAUCAAACAAAAGUCGAG